Molecule: ribosomal RNA, 448 nt
Filed under: uncultured bacterium
Lineage: Bacteria
Description: bacterial SSU rRNA
Rfam family: Bacterial small subunit ribosomal RNA
Source: RNAcentral
GAGCGGUAGAGAGAAGCUUGCUUCUCUUGAGAGCGGCGGACGGGUGAGUAAUGCCUAGGAAUCUGCCUGGUAGUGGGGGAUAACGUUCGGAAACGAACGCUAAUACCGCAUACGUCCUACGGGAGAAAGCAGGGGACCUUCGGGCCUUGCGCUAUCAGAUGAGCCUAGGUCGGAUUAGCUAGUUGGUGAGGUAAUGGCUCACCAAGGCGACGAUCCGUAACUGGUCUGAGAGGAUGAUCAGUCACACUGGAACUGAGACACGGUCCAGACUCCUACGGGAGGCAGCAGUGGGGAAUAUUGGACAAUGGGCGAAAGCCUGAUCCAGCCAUGCCGCGUGUGUGAAGAAGGUCUUCGGAUUGUAAAGCACUUUAAGUUGGGAGGAAGGGCAAUUACCUAAUACGUGAUUGUUUUGACGUUACCGACAGAAUAAGCACCGGCUAACUCUGUG